GAUGAACGCUGGCGGCGUGCCUAAUACAUGCAAGUCGAGCGAACAGACGAGGAGCUUGCUCCUCUGACGUUAGCGGCGGACGGGUGAGUAACACGUGGAUAACCUACCUAUAAGACUGGGAUAACUUCGGGAAACCGGAGCUAAUACCGGAUAAUAUAUUGAAACGCAAGGUUCAAUAGUGAAAGACGGUUUUGCUGUCACUUAUAGAUGGAUCCGCGCCGCAUUAGCUAGUUGGUAAGGUAACGGCUUACCAAGGCAACGAUGCGUAGCCGACCUGAGAGGGUGAUCGGCCACACUGGAACUGAGACACGCUCCAGCCUCCUACGGGAGGCAGCAGUAGGGAAUCUUCCGCAAUGGGCGAAAGCCUGACGGAGCAACGCCGCGUGAGUGAUGAAGGUCUUCGGAUCGUAAAACUCUGUUAUUAGGGAAGAACAAAUGUGUAAGUAACUAUGCACGUCUUGACGGUACCUAAUCAGAAAGCCACGGCUAACUACGUG
This 497-nucleotide ribosomal RNA is filed under the name uncultured bacterium. Its description in RNAcentral is "partial 16S ribosomal RNA". It matches the Rfam family "Bacterial small subunit ribosomal RNA", at positions 28 to 507 of the family's 1533-position model. The record is from RNAcentral.